UCGGAGAGUUUGAUCCUGGCUCAGGACGAACGCUGGCGGCGUGCCUAAUACAUGCAAGUCGAGCGGACAGAAGGGAGCUUGCUCCCGGAUGUUAGCGGCGGACGGGUGAGUAACACGUGGGUAACCU
Molecule: ribosomal RNA, 127 nt
Filed under: Bacillus pumilus
Lineage: Bacteria; Bacillati; Bacillota; Bacilli; Caryophanales; Bacillaceae
Also listed under: 18 other names
Description: partial 16S ribosomal RNA
Rfam family: Bacterial small subunit ribosomal RNA
Source: RNAcentral